UGCAUCUGAAGCCUGACGAGGAUGAGAACCUCCGGGGGCAAGAGGUUCGACUCGAGCGCAGCGAGAGAACGUUGCGUCAGCAACGGCCCGCAGGGCGAGCCACGCAGUGGUGAGUCAUCCUCUAUCACCGGCAG
This 134-nucleotide small RNA is filed under the name Salmonella enterica. RNAcentral describes it as "RtT sRNA". It matches the Rfam family "RtT RNA". From Rfam's summary of the family: This family represents a bacterial cis-regulatory element known as RtT RNA. The exact function of RtT is unknown although it is thought that it may be involved in changing the cellular response in relation to amino acid starvation. Lineage: Bacteria; Pseudomonadati; Pseudomonadota; Gammaproteobacteria; Enterobacterales; Enterobacteriaceae. The record is from RNAcentral. RNAcentral also lists the same sequence under 1 other name.